GCCCUUGUAGCUCAGUAGAUAGAGCGGUCCCGUCCUAAGGGAAUGGUCGGGGGUGCAAUUCCCUCCAAGGGCACCA
This 76-nucleotide transfer RNA is filed under the name Candidatus Daviesbacteria bacterium RIFOXYD1_FULL_41_10. RNAcentral describes it as "tRNA-Arg". It matches the Rfam family "tRNA". From Rfam's summary of the family: Transfer RNA (tRNA) molecules are approximately 80 nucleotides in length. Their secondary structure includes four short double-helical elements and three loops (D, anti-codon, and T loops). The record is from RNAcentral. Lineage: Bacteria; Candidatus Daviesiibacteriota.